GAAUGUGAGGGCGAUCUGGCUGCGACAUCUGUCACCCCAUUGAUCGCCAGGGUUGAUUCGGCUGAUCUGGCUGGCUAGGUGGGUGCCCCCUUCCUCCCUCAACGAUCCAUGUGCGUCCCUCCCGAAGCUGCACACUCAGUUGAAGAGGACGACCACCCCCGAUAGAGGAGGACCGUUCCUCCGUCAAGGGUAUACGAGUAGCUGCGCUCCCCUGCUAGAACCUCCAAACAAGCUCUCAAGAAACUGUCCAAUCCUCGGUUCUGAAAACAACAACAACAACAAAAAGAAUCAGACGUUUCAAAAUCU
RNAcentral lists this small nuclear RNA (306 nucleotides) under Octodon degus (degu). Its description in RNAcentral is "7SK RNA (ENSODEG00000024526.1)". It matches the Rfam family "7SK RNA". From Rfam's summary of the family: 7SK was discovered as an abundant small nuclear RNA in the mid-70s but a possible function has only recently been suggested. Two independent studies have found that 7SK RNA binds the CDK9/cyclin T complex (known as elongation factor P-TEFb). The record is from RNAcentral. Lineage: Eukaryota; Metazoa; Chordata; Mammalia; Rodentia; Octodontidae.